This 411-nucleotide non-coding RNA is filed under the name Trichobilharzia regenti. RNAcentral describes it as "Eukaryotic small subunit ribosomal RNA". It matches the Rfam family "Eukaryotic small subunit ribosomal RNA", at positions 42 to 435 of the family's 1831-position model. The record is from Rfam by way of RNAcentral. Lineage: Eukaryota; Metazoa; Platyhelminthes; Trematoda; Strigeidida; Schistosomatidae.
GAAUAAGACGUACGUGUCUAAGUACAUACCUUAAGACGGUGAAAUAGCGGAUGGUCCAUUAAAUCAGAUAUAUUUUCUUAGAUCACAUAUACGACACAGACAGCGACAGUAAUUCUAGAGCUAGUACAUGCAGUUAUGCUCCGACGCAUAAGAUAACGGCUGCAUUUUACUAGAACAGAACCACCUGGUGGAAGUUUCAGCUGCCUCUCCUGCAUACUAUGAUGACUUUGGAUAUUUUUAGUGAUUCCAGUCGGCUUAGUGUCGGCUACGAAUUCUUCAAUUGACUGCUAUAUCCAUUUGUUGAUAGUUGAUCUAACCACUAUGAUAAUAACAGAAAACGGGGAUUCAGGAUUUGAUUUCAGAGAAGCAGCCUGAGAAAUUGACACCGCAUCUAAUGACGGUAGCAGACGC